This 621-nucleotide ribosomal RNA is filed under the name Tuber pseudohimalayense. RNAcentral's name for it is "eukaryotic LSU rRNA". It matches the Rfam family "Eukaryotic large subunit ribosomal RNA", at positions 38 to 675 of the family's 3401-position model. The record is from RNAcentral. Lineage: Eukaryota; Fungi; Ascomycota; Pezizomycetes; Pezizales; Tuberaceae.
GCAUAUCAAUAAGCGGAGGAAAAGAAACCAACAGGGAUUGCCUCAGUAACGGCGAGUGAAGCGGCAAAAGCUCAAAUUUGAAAUCUGACACCUCUGGUGUUCGAGUUGUAAUUUGGAGAGGCAACUUCAGGUAGAAUCCAGCCUAUGUUCCUUGGAACAGGAGGUCAUAGAGGGUGAGAAUCCCGUUUGUGGCUGGAUGUUUCUACUAGUACGUAGCGCCUUCUACGAGUCGAGUUGUUUGGGAAUGCAGCUCAAAAUGGGUGGUAAAUUUCAUCUAAAGCUAAAUAUUGGCGAGAGACCGAUAGCGCACAAGUAGAGUGAUCGAAAGAUGAAAAGCACUUUGAAAAUAGAGUCAAAAAGUACGUGAAAUUGUUGAAAGGGAAGCGCUUGAGACCAGACUCAGCCUUUGGCAAACAAUAGUCCUUUAGGAUUGUGCACUUGUCUUGGGCUGGGCCAGCAUCAGUUAGGAUGGUAGGAGAAAGGUUGGGAAAAUGUGACUCCAAUUUGGAGUGUUAUAGAUUCCAGCGUCAUGCUAUCUAUCCUGACUGUGGACCGCGCUUUGGCUAGGAUGCUGGCAUAAUGGUCUUCAGCGGCCCGUCUUGAAACACGGACAACGGAGUC